GCGGCUGUGCGCCCCGGGGCAUGCCGGGAGCGGCGGUGGCCUGAGCGUAGCCGUGUCUGAGCCCUGAGCCGGGGAGCCCAGCGUUUGGGAGGGGUAACCCGAGCCCUCGAAGCCCUUGAAGCUGCGGGGGUGGCUUAGCUUCAGUGUUUUGGCCGAGAACACCCUUAAAGCUUAAAAUAAAACCUGCCUGUGGGGUGUGGGGAGGACCGAGGCGUAUGCGCAUCAGCACGCCCCCCCCCCCAAUACCUUCCUCGGCUCUGGUUUGGGGAACAGGAUGCCGAGGGCUUGGACCAGAGGGGCCGGAGCCCCCCCCCCUCCGCCCCCCACCCCCCGCAGCCCCGUGGAUGCUCCAGAUCCCCGACCCACACCCCGGCCGGCCCCAGAUGCCCUCCCACACUUACGAAGGAAAUGCAGGCGGCCAGGAGAAGGAUCCGCACCAGGAGCAGGGAGCUCUACCCAGGGAAAAAGAAGAAAAAGACACAUUCAUUUGGGGCUCAGUCUGAUGCCCCCCCCCACCCAGGAUUCUGUGGCUAAGGUGAGGAUACUGAGGCCUGGAGAGGCUAACACCUGGCCUAGGCCAAACAGCAAAGGAGAGGAAAAGCUAGGAGUGAAAGCCAGUGCUCUCUGUCAUCUACCCCCCAGCUUCCCAGCCUGGCCCCGAGAAGGGGAGCAGCCAGCCUGCCCUGGGCCCCUCUGCAGCCAGACUCUGUGGCUGCCACAUUCAACCUCUCCCAACACGGCCACUGUGCCCCAACCCCGCCCCCACGAUCUCCCUCUGCCUGCUUUCUCCCUCGGGUGGGAAGCCUUAACUGAAGAACUUAGAGCAAGAAGGGUCCUUGGAGGUUGCCGAUCCUGCUGUUCACUGUCCGGUCCCGUUAAGAGAACUUGGCCGCAAACCCCCGAGAAGCACUAUUGGGCUCUGCACUUACCGCUCAACAAACAGGACCGCCCACGGAGGAGCAAUGGGCCGAAG
Prionailurus viverrinus (fishing cat) is the source of this 973-nucleotide long non-coding RNA. RefSeq lists it as uncharacterized. The transcript is spliced from 3 exons. The record is from RefSeq and is a predicted model, not a curated record. Lineage: Eukaryota; Metazoa; Chordata; Mammalia; Carnivora; Felidae.